This is a non-coding RNA of Moniliophthora roreri, 98 nucleotides long. The record is from Rfam. NCBI's taxonomy places the organism in Eukaryota, Fungi, Basidiomycota, Agaricomycetes, Agaricales, Marasmiaceae.
GGGGGUAUAGCUCAGCUGGGAGAGCAGCAGACUGAAGUGGUCGACACCAAAGUUGCUAAUCAUUCUGAAGGUCCCGCGUUCGAUCCGCGGUACCCCCA